CAGGACGAACGCUGGCGGCGUGCCUAAUACAUGCAAGUCGAGCGAAUGACAAGGAGCUUGCUCCUUUGAUUAGCGGCGGACGGGUGAGUAACACGUGGGUAACCUACCCUAUAGACUGGGAUAACUUCGGGAAACCGGAGCUAAUACCGGAUAAUACUUUUGAACACAUGUUCGAAAGUUGAAAGAUGGUUUCGGCUAUCACUAUAGGAUGGACCCGCGGCGCAUUAGCUAGUUGGUGGGGUAAUGGCUCACCAAGGCAACGAUGCGUAGCCGACCUGAGAGGGUGAUCGGCCACACUGGGACUGAGACACGGCCCAGACUCCUACGGGAGGCAGCAGUAGGGAAUCUUCCACAAUGGACGAAAGUCUGAUGGAGCAACGCCGCGUGAAGUGAAGAAGGAUUUCGGUUCGUAAAACUCUGUUGCAAGGGAAGAACAAGUAGCGUAGUAACUGGCGCUACCUUGACGGUACCUUGUUAGAAAGCCACGGCUAACUACGUGCCAGCAGCAGC
RNAcentral lists this ribosomal RNA (510 nucleotides) under uncultured bacterium. RNAcentral describes it as "bacterial SSU rRNA". It matches the Rfam family "Bacterial small subunit ribosomal RNA", at positions 25 to 518 of the family's 1533-position model. The record is from RNAcentral.